Molecule: ribosomal RNA, 466 nt
Filed under: uncultured bacterium
Lineage: Bacteria
Description: partial 16S ribosomal RNA
Rfam family: Bacterial small subunit ribosomal RNA
Source: RNAcentral
GAUGAACGCUGGCGGCGUGCUUAACACAUGCAAGUCGAACGAUGAAGCCCAGCUUGCUGGGUGGAUUAGUGGCGAACGGGUGAGUAACACGUGAGUAACCUGCCCUUAACUCUGGGAUAAGCCUGGGAAACUGGGUCUAAUACCGGGUAGGAGCGUCCACCGCAUGGUGGGUGUUGGAAAGAUUUAUCGGUUUUGGAUGGACUCGCGGCCUAUCAGCUUGUUGGUGAGGUAAUGGCUCACCAAGGCGACGACGGGUAGCCGGCCUGAGAGGGUGACCGGCCACACUGGGACUGAGACACGGCCCAGACUCCUACGGGAGGCAGCAGUGGGGGAUAUUGCACAAUGGGCGCAAGCCUGAUGCAGCGACGCCGCGUGAGGGAUGACGGCCUUCGGGUUGUAAACCUCUUUCAGUAGGGAAGAAGCGAAAGUGACGGUACCUGCAGAAGAAGCACCGGCUAACUACGUG